This 2151-nucleotide ribosomal RNA is filed under the name Klebsiella pneumoniae. RNAcentral describes it as "bacterial LSU rRNA". It matches the Rfam family "Bacterial large subunit ribosomal RNA", at positions 1 to 2181 of the family's 2925-position model. The record is from RNAcentral. Lineage: Bacteria; Pseudomonadati; Pseudomonadota; Gammaproteobacteria; Enterobacterales; Enterobacteriaceae.
UUAAGCGACUAAGCGUACACGGUGGAUGCCCUGGCAGUCAGAGGCGAUGAAGGACGUGCUAAUCUGCGAAAAGCGUCGGUAAGGUGAUAUGAACCGUUAUAACCGGCGAUGUCCGAAUGGGGAAACCCAGUGCAAUUCGUCACACUAUCGUUAACUGAAUACAUAGGUUAACGAGGCGAACCGGGGGAACUGAAACAUCUAAGUACCCCGAGGAAAAGAAAUCAACCGAGAUUCCCCCAGUAGCGGCGAGCGAACGGGGAGCAGCCCAGAGUCUGAAUCAGCUUGUGUGUUAGUGGAACGGUCUGGAAAGUCCGACGGUACAGGGUGAUAGUCCCGUACACCAAAAUGCACAGGCUGUGAACUCGAAGAGUAGGGCGGGACACGUGGUAUCCUGUCUGAAUAUGGGGGGACCAUCCUCCAAGGCUAAAUACUCCUGACUGACCGAUAGUGAACCAGUACCGUGAGGGAAAGGCGAAAAGAACCCCGGCGAGGGGAGUGAAAAAGAACCUGAAACCGUGUACGUACAAGCAGUGGGAGCACCUUCGGGUGUGACUGCGUACCUUUUGUAUAAUGGGUCAGCGACUUAUAUUCUGUAGCAAGGUUAACCGUAUAGGGGAGCCGCAGGGAAACCGAGUCUUAACUGGGCGUUAAGUUGCAGGGUAUAGACCCGAAACCCGGUGAUCUAGCCAUGGGCAGGUUGAAGGUUGGGUAACACUAACUGGAGGACCGAACCGACUAAUGUUGAAAAAUUAGCGGAUGACUUGUGGCUGGGGGUGAAAGGCCAAUCAAACCGGGAGAUAGCUGGUUCUCCCCGAAAGCUAUUUAGGUAGCGCCUCGUGAACUCAUCUUCGGGGGUAGAGCACUGUUUCGGCUAGGGGGUCAUCCCGACUUACCAACCCGAUGCAAACUACGAAUACCGAAGAAUGUUAUCACGGGAGACACACGGCGGGUGCUAACGUCCGUCGUGAAGAGGGAAACAACCCAGACCGCCAGCUAAGGUCCCAAAGUCAUGGUUAAGUGGGAAACGAUGUGGGAAGGCACAGACAGCCAGGAUGUUGGCUUAGAAGCAGCCAUCAUUUAAAGAAAGCGUAAUAGCUCACUGGUCGAGUCGGCCUGCGCGGAAGAUGUAACGGGGCUAAACCAUGCACCGAAGCUGCGGCAGCGACACUAUGUGUUGUUGGGUAGGGGAGCGUUCUGUAAGCCUGCGAAGGUGUGCUGUGAGGCAUGCUGGAGGUAUCAGAAGUGCGAAUGCUGACAUAAGUAACGAUAAAGCGGGUGAAAAGCCCGCUCGCCGGAAGACCAAGGGUUCCUGUCCAACGUUAAUCGGGGCAGGGUGAGUCGACCCCUAAGGCGAGGCCGAAAGGCGUAGUCGAUGGGAAACAGGUUAAUAUUCCUGUACUUGGUGUUACUGCGAAGGGGGGACGGAGAAGGCUAUGUUAGCCGGGCGACGGUUGUCCCGGUUUAAGCAUGUAGGCUGAUUGUCCAGGCAAAUCCGGAUAAUCAAGGCUGAGGUGUGAUGACGAGGCACUACGGUGCUGAAGUAACAAAUGCCCUGCUUCCAGGAAAAGCCUCUAAGCAUCAGGUAACAUCAAAUCGUACCCCAAACCGACACAGGUGGUCAGGUAGAGAAUACCAAGGCGCUUGAGAGAACUCGGGUGAAGGAACUAGGCAAAAUGGUGCCGUAACUUCGGGAGAAGGCACGCUGGUGUGUAGGUGAAGUCCCUGCGGAUGGAGCUGAGACCAGUCGAAGAUACCAGCUGGCUGCAACUGUUUAUUAAAAACACAGCACUGUGCAAACACGAAAGUGGACGUAUACGGUGUGACGCCUGCCCGGUGCCGGAAGGUUAAUUGAUGGGGUUAUCCGUAAGGAGAAGCUCUUGAUCGAAGCCCCGGUAAACGGCGGCCGUAACUAUAACGGUCCUAAGGUAGCGAAAUUCCUUGUCGGGUAAGUUCCGACCUGCACGAAUGGCGUAAUGAUGGCCAGGCUGUCUCCACCCGAGACUCAGUGAAAUUGAACUCGCUGUGAAGAUGCAGUGUACCCGCGGCAAGACGGAAAGACCCCGUGAACCUUUACUAUAGCUUGACACUGAACAUUGAGCCUUGAUGUGUAGGAUAGGUGGGAGGCUUUGAAGCGUGGACGCCAGUCUGCGU